Molecule: unclassified non-coding RNA, 421 nt
Filed under: soil metagenome
Description: partial contains 5.8S ribosomal RNA, internal transcribed spacer 2, and large subunit ribosomal RNA
Rfam family: 5.8S ribosomal RNA (bases 1-120)
Source: RNAcentral
GAUGAAGAACGUAGCGAAAUGCGAUACGUAAUGUGAAUUGCAGAAUUCAGUGAAUCAUCGAAUCUUUGAACGCAUAUUGCGCUCUUUGGUAUUCCGAAGAGCAUGCUUGUUUGAGUAUCAGUAAACACCUCAACCUCUUCUUGAUUUUUCAAAAGGAGGGUGGACUUGAGCUAUCCCAACAACCUUUACCGGUCGGCGGGCGGCUUGAAAUGCAGGUGCAGCUGGACUUUUAUCUGAGCUAAAAGCAUAUCUAUUUAGUCCUCGUCAAACAGGAUUAUUACUUUUGCUGCAGCUAACAUAAAGGAUAAUUGUCCUCUUUGCUGACUGAUGCAGGAAUUUACGACACUUUAUGUGUUGUUCAACUCGAUCUCAAAUCAAGUAAGACUACCCGCUGAACUUAAGCAUAUCAAUAAGCGGAGGA